AUUAGGCCAGGCCCACUUACAGUCGAGGAGAGCAGGACUCAUCACAAUUCACAAGUCACACCGCCACAGCAUCUCGAGCACACUGCACACUCUCCAACCGCGGCAUCUACUAAAAAAACUCUCCAACUGCGGCAAUUGCCAACCGCCAGCACCAGCGCCGCCGCCCUGGCUCCCCCGCCGGCGCCUCGGAGAAUUGGAUUGGCUGGGCGCGUGACCCGCCGCCGCCGUCCGCGAGCAGCAGCGACCCCCCUCGCCGGCCAUGGCCUCUGCUCAUUCCAAGCUUUACUCAGGUGUUUCUGUCAUAAGAAGACUAUCCACAUGGGAUACGUCUGUUCAGUUUGUUUGUCAAUAUUCUGCAGGAAUCAGAAGACGUGUUCAACAUGUGGAUAUGUUUUAUUUGCAAGUGUGUUCCUUUUUUGUGGGGGUACCUUUUGAUGAUAAUAAAUCUGUGUUCUGUUCUUGUUUCUAGACUCAGUCCAGAGCUUCUUGAAUUGAAUCAGAUGCUUACCAAGUUUACUCUUAAUUUUGAUUUCCUAA
Long non-coding RNA from Zea mays, 537 nucleotides. RefSeq lists it as uncharacterized. The record is from RefSeq and is a predicted model, not a curated record. NCBI's taxonomy places the organism in Eukaryota, Viridiplantae, Streptophyta, Magnoliopsida, Poales, Poaceae. The transcript has 2 exons.